GACGAACGCUGGCGGCGUGCUUAACACAUGCAAGUCGAACGAUGAAGCUGGAGCUUGCUCCGGUGGAUUAGUGGCGAACGGGUGAGUAACACGUGAGCAAUCUGCCCUUGACUCUGGGAUAACUGCGGGAAACUGUAGCUAAUACCGGAUACUUUCACUGGAAGGCAUCUUCUGGUGAAGAAAGAAUUUCGGUCAAGGAUGAGCUCACGGCCUAUCAGCUUGUUAGUGAGGUAACGGCUCACCAAGGCGACGACGGGUAGCCGGCCGGAGAGGGUGACCGGCCACACUGGGACUGAGACACGGCCCAGACUCCUACGGGAGGCAGCAGUGGGGAAUAUUGCACAAUGGGCGCAAGCCUGAUGCAGCAACGCCGCGUGAGGGAUGAAGGCCUUCGGGUUGUAAACCUCUUUUAGCAGGGAAGAAGCGAAAGUGACGGUACCUGCAGAAAAAGCACCGGCUAACUACGUGCCAGCCGCCGCGGUAA
RNAcentral lists this ribosomal RNA (484 nucleotides) under uncultured bacterium. RNAcentral's name for it is "partial 16S ribosomal RNA". It matches the Rfam family "Bacterial small subunit ribosomal RNA", at positions 28 to 523 of the family's 1533-position model. The record is from RNAcentral.